AUUGAACGCUGGCGGCAUGCCUUACACAUGCAAGUCGAACGGCAGCACGGGAGCAAUCCUGUGGCGAGUGGCGAACGGGUGAGUAAUGUAUCGGAACGUGCCCAGUCGUGGGGGAUAACGUAGCGAAAGCUACGCUAAUACCGCAUACGACCUGUGGAUGAAAGCGGGGGACCGUAAGGCCUCGCGCGAUUGGAGCGGCGGAUAUCGGAUUAGGUAGUUGGUGGGGUAAAGGCCUACCGAGCCGACGAUCUGUAGCUGGUCUGAGAAGACGACCAGCCACACUGGAACUGAGACACGCCCCAGACUCCUACGGGGGGCAGCAGUGGGGAAUUUUGGACAAUGGGCGCAAGCCUGAUCCAGCAAUGCCGCGUGCAGGAUGAAGGCCUUCGGGUUGUAAACUGCUUUUGUACGGAGCGAAAAGGCUCUCUCUAAUACAGGGGGCUCAUGACGGUACCGUAAGAAUAAGCACCGGCUAACUACGUGCCAGCCGCCGCAGUAA
This 499-nucleotide ribosomal RNA is filed under the name uncultured bacterium. RNAcentral describes it as "partial 16S ribosomal RNA". It matches the Rfam family "Bacterial small subunit ribosomal RNA", at positions 30 to 523 of the family's 1533-position model. The record is from RNAcentral.